AGAACAGACCUCUUGGGCAGAGAUUUCACAUCAGCCGACACCAUUGUUCGCCGAACACAGCAACAUCACCAACGCUGCCUGAGUCGCCAGAGUUUCGAAGCAGCUGCAGAGCCAGAGAAUCCGCCGCCUCACUGAGACAUCCAGAGCAUCACAACGCCAAGAGACAUACAAGAUGGCUGCUGGUGGUAACGCUCGUCCUUUUGAAUACCCUGAAGGAGCUAGCGAACAAAGAAAGGAAAAGAUCAGAGAGAAAGCACUGCAUGGCAAUGAAGACACUCUGUAUUAUGAUACAGAUGCUGAAGGUGAAAAAUGCAACCUCAUGAUGUAUAGCACUUUUGUAAGAAAAUGUCUGAAUGCAAUGAAGGAACAAUAUCCUGAACUCGAGGAAGAGCGACAGAACGAUAAAAUUGUCCUCAAGUGCAAGGAAGGUACCAUAACUUCAUAUCCUACUGUAACGGUUUUGGUAAGAGGCCAAAUACUAAUGGACAGCUUUAAGAGACAUUUUCCAGCAAUGAAACAAAUGGCCCUGCCACCCUCCUUAUUAGAGGGAAUGGUCGAAUUGGACAGUACCAAUACCGGUGUUAAAUCUAGGUCUUUUGAAUACCCUCAAGGAUAUACUGAUCAACAAAAGGAAAGGGUCAGAAAGGAAACACUGCAUAACAAUAAAGACACUCUGCAUCAUGAUACCACUUUGUUAGGUAAAAAAUGCAACCUCACGUUCUAUAGCACUCAUGUAAAAGAAUGGCUGAAUGCAAUGAAGAAACAAUAUCCUACAUAUAGGGAAAUUAGACAUGGCCAGUUAGUCAACCUCAAGUCCGAUAUGGUGACCAUAACUUUAUACCCUAAAGUAACGGUUGUGGUAGAAGGCCAACUAAUGGAGAGGUUUGAGGACAAUUUUCCACAAAUGAAACAAAUGGCUGGUCUAGUGAGGAAGGCGAGGGAACCGGCCCCAGACUUCCCCCGCCUGAUGAGAAAUAUCCGUCGGAUGAAAAAGUAAGCACAGAAAAAAAGAAGGGAAAAAAACAACUACAAAAUGGAUCAUUAUAAAUAACUGAUUAUUUAAGCUUCAUCGUGCCAUUUUAAUUCAUGAACAGGUAUCUGGGUUGUAAA
Long non-coding RNA from Sebastes umbrosus (honeycomb rockfish), 1110 nucleotides. RefSeq lists it as uncharacterized. NCBI's taxonomy places the organism in Eukaryota, Metazoa, Chordata, Actinopteri, Perciformes, Sebastidae. The transcript is spliced from 3 exons. The record is from RefSeq and is a predicted model, not a curated record.